RNAcentral lists this ribosomal RNA (1793 nucleotides) under Salmonella enterica subsp. enterica serovar Infantis. Its description in RNAcentral is "bacterial LSU rRNA". It matches the Rfam family "Bacterial large subunit ribosomal RNA", at positions 1155 to 2925 of the family's 2925-position model. The record is from RNAcentral. Lineage: Bacteria; Pseudomonadati; Pseudomonadota; Gammaproteobacteria; Enterobacterales; Enterobacteriaceae.
CGGCCUGCGCGGAAGAUGUAACGGGGCUAAACCAUGCACCGAAGCUGCGGCAGCGACACUCAGGUGUUGUUGGGUAGGGGAGCGUUCUGUAAGCCUGCGAAGGUGGCCUGUGAGGGUUGCUGGAGGUAUCAGAAGUGCGAAUGCUGACAUAAGUAACGAUAAAGCGGGUGAAAAGCCCGCUCGCCGGAAGACCAAGGGUUCCUGUCCAACGUUAAUCGGGGCAGGGUGAGUCGACCCCUAAGGCGAGGCCGAAAGGCGUAGUCGAUGGGAAACGGGUUAAUAUUCCCGUACUUGGUGUUACUGCGAAGGGGGGACGGAGAAGGCUAUGUUGGCCGGGCGACGGUUGUCCCGGUUUAAGCGUGUAGGUGUGUGUUCCAGGUAAAUCCGGUUCACUUUAACACUGAGGCGUGAUGACGAGGCACUACGGUGCUGAAGCAACAAAUGCCCUGCUUCCAGGAAAAGCCUCUAAGCAUCAGGUAACAUCAAAUCGUACCCCAAACCGACACAGGUGGUCAGGUAGAGAAUACCAAGGCGCUUGAGAGAACUCGGGUGAAGGAACUAGGCAAAAUGGUGCCGUAACUUCGGGAGAAGGCACGCUGACACGUAGGUGAAGUGAUUUACUCAUGGAGCUGAAGUCAGUCGAAGAUACCAGCUGGCUGCAACUGUUUAUUAAAAACACAGCACUGUGCAAACACGAAAGUGGACGUAUACGGUGUGACGCCUGCCCGGUGCCGGAAGGUUAAUUGAUGGGGUCAGCGCAAGCGAAGCUCCUGAUCGAAGCCCCGGUAAACGGCGGCCGUAACUAUAACGGUCCUAAGGUAGCGAAAUUCCUUGUCGGGUAAGUUCCGACCUGCACGAAUGGCGUAAUGAUGGCCAGGCUGUCUCCACCCGAGACUCAGUGAAAUUGAACUCGCUGUGAAGAUGCAGUGUACCCGCGGCAAGACGGAAAGACCCCGUGAACCUUUACUAUAGCUUGACACUGAACAUUGAGCCUUGAUGUGUAGGAUAGGUGGGAGGCUUUGAAGCGUGGACGCCAGUCUGCGUGGAGCCGACCUUGAAAUACCACCCUUUAAUGUUUGAUGUUCUAACGUGGACCCGUAAUCCGGGUUGCGGACAGUGUCUGGUGGGUAGUUUGACUGGGGCGGUCUCCUCCUAAAGAGUAACGGAGGAGCACGAAGGUUGGCUAAUCCUGGUCGGACAUCAGGAGGUUAGUGCAAUGGCAUAAGCCAGCUUGACUGCGAGCGUGACGGCGCGAGCAGGUGCGAAAGCAGGUCAUAGUGAUCCGGUGGUUCUGAAUGGAAGGGCCAUCGCUCAACGGAUAAAAGGUACUCCGGGGAUAACAGGCUGAUACCGCCCAAGAGUUCAUAUCGACGGCGGUGUUUGGCACCUCGAUGUCGGCUCAUCACAUCCUGGGGCUGAAGUAGGUCCCAAGGGUAUGGCUGUUCGCCAUUUAAAGUGGUACGCGAGCUGGGUUUAGAACGUCGUGAGACAGUUCGGUCCCUAUCUGCCGUGGGCGCUGGAGAACUGAGGGGGGCUGCUCCUAGUACGAGAGGACCGGAGUGGACGCAUCACUGGUGUUCGGGUUGUCAUGCCAAUGGCACUGCCCGGUAGCUAAAUGCGGAAGAGAUAAGUGCUGAAAGCAUCUAAGCACGAAACUUGCCCCGAGAUGAGUUCUCCCUGAGACUUAGAGUCUCCUGAAGGAACGUUGAAGACGACGACGUUGAUAGGCCGGGUGUGUAAGCGCAGCGAUGCGUUGAGCUAACCGGUACUAAUGAACCGUGAGGCUUAACCUU